UACAAAUCGCCACCUCCUCCUUCACCGGUUUACUACUACAAAUCCCCUCCUCCUCCUUCGCCGGUCUACUAUUACAAAUCCCCGCCUCCACCACCAUACUAUUACAAGUCCCCACCUCCACCUCCGCCUAAGUAUUACUACAAGUCGCCCCCACCACCGUCUCCAUACUAUUACAAAUCCCCGCCCCCUCCACCGUACUAUUACAAAUCCCCACCACCACCUCCCUACAAAUACGAAUCGCCGCCGCCUCCUCCUUACAAAUACGAGUCCCCACCUCCACCACCUUACUAUUACAAGUCCCCACCACCACCUCCAUACAAAUAUGAAUCCCCGCCACCUCCAGUCUACAAAUAUGAGUCUCCGCCACCCCCAGUUUACAAAUACAAGUCGCCACCACCACCAUACAAGUACGAGUCACCACCACCACCUCCAUACAAGUAUGAAUCCCCGCCACCUCCACCUUAUUACUACAAGUCCCCUCCACCACCACCAUACAAGUACGAGUCGCCACCACCUCCUCCGUACAAGUAUGAAUCUCCACCACCACCAGUUUACAAAUACAAGUCACCUCCGCCGCCACCUUAUUACUACAAAUCCCCACCGCCACCUCCAUACAAGUACGAGUCUCCACCUCCUCCUCCGUACAAGUAUGAAUCUCCACCACCACCACCUUAUUACUACAAAUCCCCCCCGCCACCUCCAUACAAGUACGAGUCACCGCCUCCUCCUCCGUACAAGUAUGAAUCUCCACCACCGCCAGUUUACAAAUACAAGUCACCCCCGCCACCACCUUAUUACUACAAAUCCCCGCCACCACCUCCAUACAAGUACGAGUCUCCACCUCCUCCUCCGUACAAGUAUGAAUCUCCACCACCACCUCCUUAUUACUACAAAUCCCCGCCGCCACCUCCCUACAAGUAUGAAUCCCCGCCACCACCUCCCUACAAAUACGAGUCACCUCCACCACCACCUUACUAUUACAAAUCUCCUCCACCGCCUCCAUACAAGUAUGAGUCGCCACCACCACCAGUCUACAAAUACGAGUCUCCGCCACCCCCAGUUUACAAAUACAAGUCGCCCCCUCCACCUUAUUACUACAAGUCUCCGCCACCCCCGCCAUACAAAUAUGAAUCCCCACCUCCACCUCCCUACAAGUAUGAAUCGCCUCCUCCUCCACCUUACUACUACAAGUCCCCUCCACCACCUCCCUACAAAUAUGAAUCCCCGCCACCACCUCCCUAUAAAUACGAGUCACCACCACCACCACCUUACUAUUACAAAUCUCCUCCACCGCCUCCAUACAAGUAUGAGUCGCCACCACCACCUCCCUACAAAUACGAGUCACCACCACCACCACCUUACAAGUAUGAAUCCCCACCUCCACCUCCGUACAAGUAUGAAUCACCUCCACCGCCUCCAUACAAGUAUGAAUCCCCUCCUCCACCUCCCUACAAAUACGAGUCACCACCCCCACCACCUUAUUACUACAAAUCGCCUCCGCCACCGGAGUAUCAAUCAC
This 1519-nucleotide long non-coding RNA is filed under the name Selaginella moellendorffii. RNAcentral's name for it is "long non-coding RNA (SMOE_LNC002368)". Lineage: Eukaryota; Viridiplantae; Streptophyta; Lycopodiopsida; Selaginellales; Selaginellaceae. The record is from RNAcentral.